AAAGGAGGUGGUAGCUCCCUCAACAACUGGGAACGGUACACUUGGUUGCUCACAGUCUAUCGUAGUUAGCUACUGUUUCCUGCUUCACCUUCUCAUUUCUAGCUACUUCCUGGUAUAGGUACAUGGCAUUGGCAAGGAUGUUACCCAGCAUGCAUGGCUGAAAGUCUCAGCUUUCUGCAAUGCACUUUUUGUUCAUAUGCUUUCAAAGUCGAGUCAUUUUGGCUGAUGCAAGUAAAACCCACGUACGUUAAGUUUGGAUUUGGGACUCUUAGGGGUAGGGAUUUUGUUUACUGCUGUUUCAUUGAGGGAUGGAUUUGUUGAUAGAAAGUUUUUUUUUGGAACGUGAUACCUCUCGAUAGCAAACCAUCAUAAGCUAACAAAUCAU
This 385-nucleotide long non-coding RNA is filed under the name Linum usitatissimum (flax). RNAcentral describes it as "long non-coding RNA (LUSI_LNC001909)". Lineage: Eukaryota; Viridiplantae; Streptophyta; Magnoliopsida; Malpighiales; Linaceae. The record is from RNAcentral.